This 77-nucleotide transfer RNA is filed under the name Natribacillus halophilus. RNAcentral describes it as "tRNA_Met_CAT". It matches the Rfam family "tRNA". Rfam says of the family: Transfer RNA (tRNA) molecules are approximately 80 nucleotides in length. Their secondary structure includes four short double-helical elements and three loops (D, anti-codon, and T loops). The record is from RNAcentral. Lineage: Bacteria; Bacillati; Bacillota; Bacilli; Caryophanales; Bacillaceae.
GGCGGUGUAGCUCAGCUGGCUAGAGCGUACGGUUCAUACCCGUAAGGUCGGGGGUUCGAUACCCUCCGCCGCUACCA